AUAUUAUGCUAGUUUUAACAAUAAAUGUCAGAUAUUUAUCGACAAACUCCUAUUUUCCUUUCAUUACAGUUUUUCUAAAAGAGUUAACCAUAAUAUUAAUAAGAUAAUAUAAUUGAAAAAUAAUAAUUAAUAUGACAUUAAAAAUCGAAAGUAACUCUCAUUUUUUAACAAGUUUAUCUCUUGUUGUGGGACAAAUAGCUUAACAUACAUAAUUUGAAAGAUUAAUUUUUGUUAACAAAGGAAGAGUAGAGAUUACCUGAAAGUGUGAGAACAAACAAGCUGAGAUCCUUGUCGGAAAAACACAAACUAAGAUUUAUUUGUAAUAUAAAAUGUGAAAAAUGAAAUUUGAGUACCAACUACUACCAAUGGAAAAAAGGAUGGUAUAUGAGUAAAAUGUGUUUAGUAAUAUUUAGAGAGAGAAAUUACUUGAAGGAAUUUCAAGUAGAGAGAUCUUUCAAAGAUAGACCUAUAUAUCAAAGAUGAAGUUUCAUAUGGAAAAUGAGUGAUAU
Molecule: long non-coding RNA, 509 nt
Filed under: Trifolium pratense (red clover)
Lineage: Eukaryota; Viridiplantae; Streptophyta; Magnoliopsida; Fabales; Fabaceae
Description: long non-coding RNA (TPRA_LNC013833)
Source: RNAcentral